This 2238-nucleotide ribosomal RNA is filed under the name Escherichia coli. RNAcentral describes it as "partial 23S ribosomal RNA". It matches the Rfam family "Bacterial large subunit ribosomal RNA", at positions 402 to 2623 of the family's 2925-position model. The record is from RNAcentral. Lineage: Bacteria; Pseudomonadati; Pseudomonadota; Gammaproteobacteria; Enterobacterales; Enterobacteriaceae.
AGCUCGAUGAGUAGGGCGGGACACGUGGUAUCCUGUCUGAAUAUGGGGGGACCAUCCUCCAAGGCUAAAUACUCCUGACUGACCGAUAGUGAACCAGUACCGUGAGGGAAAGGCGAAAAGAACCCCGGCGAGGGGAGUGAAAAAGAACCUGAAACCGUGUACGUACAAGCAGUGGGAGCACAGAGCAAUCUGUGUGACUGCGUACCUUUUGUAUAAUGGGUCAGCGACUUAUAUUCUGUAGCAAGGUUAACCGAAUAGGGGAGCCGAAGGGAAACCGAGUCUUAACUGGGCGUUAAGUUGCAGGGUAUAGACCCGAAACCCGGUGAUCUAGCCAUGGGCAGGUUGAAGGUUGGGUAACACUAACUGGAGGACCGAACCGACUAAUGUUGAAAAAUUAGCGGAUGACUUGUGGCUGGGGGUGAAAGGCCAAUCAAACCGGGAGAUAGCUGGUUCUCCCCGAAAGCUAUUUAGGUAGCGCCUCGUGAAUUCAUCUCCGGGGGUAGAGCACUGUUUCGGCAAGGGGGUCAUCCCGACUUACCAACCCGAUGCAAACUGCGAAUACCGGAGAAUGUUAUCACGGGAGACACACGGCGGGUGCUAACGUCCGUCGUGAAGAGGGAAACAACCCAGACCGCCAGCUAAGGUCCCAAAGUCAUGGUUAAGUGGGAAACGAUGUGGGAAGGCCCAGACAGCCAGGAUGUUGGCUUAGAAGCAGCCAUCAUUUAAAGAAAGCGUAAUAGCUCACUGGUCGAGUCGGCCUGCGCGGAAGAUGUAACGGGGCUAAACCAUGCACCGAAGCUGCGGCAGCGACGCUUAUGCGUUGUUGGGUAGGGGAGCGUUCUGUAAGCCUGCGAAGGUGUGCUGUGAGGCAUGCUGGAGGUAUCAGAAGUGCGAAUGCUGACAUAAGUAACGAUAAAGCGGGUGAAAAGCCCGCUCGCCGGAAGACCAAGGGUUCCUGUCCAACGUUAAUCGGGGCAGGGUGAGUCGACCCCUAAGGCGAGGCCGAAAGGCGUAGUCGAUGGGAAACAGGUUAAUAUUCCUGUACUUGGUGUUACUGCGAAGGGGGGACGGAGAAGGCUAUGUUGGCCGGGCGACGGUUGUCCCGGUUUAAGCGUGUAGGCUGGUUUUCCAGGCAAAUCCGGAAAAUCAAGGCUGAGGCGUGAUGACGAGGCACUACGGUGCUGAAGCAACAAAUGCCCUGCUUCCAGGAAAAGCCUCUAAGCAUCAGGUAACAUCAAAUCGUACCCCAAACCGACACAGGUGGUCAGGUAGAGAAUACCAAGGCGCUUGAGAGAACUCGGGUGAAGGAACUAGGCAAAAUGGUGCCGUAACUUCGGGAGAAGGCACGCUGAUAUGUAGGUGAAGCGACUUGCUCGUGGAGCUGAAAUCAGUCGAAGAUACCAGCUGGCUGCAACUGUUUAUUAAAAACACAGCACUGUGCAAACACGAAAGUGGACGUAUACGGUGUGACGCCUGCCCGGUGCCGGAAGGUUAAUUGAUGGGGUCAGCGCAAGCGAAGCUCUUGAUCGAAGCCCCGGUAAACGGCGGCCGUAACUAUAACGGUCCUAAGGUAGCGAAAUUCCUUGUCGGGUAAGUUCCGACCUGCACGAAUGGCGUAAUGAUGGCCAGGCUGUCUCCACCCGAGACUCAGUGAAAUUGAACUCGCUGUGAAGAUGCAGUGUACCCGCGGCAAGACGGAAAGACCCCGUGAACCUUUACUAUAGCUUGACACUGAACAUUGAGCCUUGAUGUGUAGGAUAGGUGGGAGGCUUUGAAGUGUGGACGCCAGUCUGCAUGGAGCCGACCUUGAAAUACCACCCUUUAAUGUUUGAUGUUCUAACGUGGACCCGUAAUCCGGGUUGCGGACAGUGUCUGGUGGGUAGUUUGACUGGGGCGGUCUCCUCCUAAAGAGUAACGGAGGAGCACGAAGGUUGGCUAAUCCUGGUCGGACAUCAGGAGGUUAGUGCAAUGGCAUAAGCCAGCUUGACUGCGAGCGUGACGGCGCGAGCAGGUGCGAAAGCAGGUCAUAGUGAUCCGGUGGUUCUGAAUGGAAGGGCCAUCGCUCAACGGAUAAAAGGUACUCCGGGGAUAACAGGCUGAUACCGCCCAAGAGUUCAUAUCGACGGCGGUGUUUGGCACCUCGAUGUCGGCUCAUCACAUCCUGGGGCUGAAGUAGGUCCCAAGGGUAUGGCUGUUCGCCAUUUAAAGUGGUACGCGAGCUGGGUUUAGAACGUCGUG